GAGGUGUGGAUAGGGGAGAAAUUCCAAUCGAACCCGGAGAUAGCUGGUUCUCCUCGAAAUAGCUUUAGGGCUAGCCCAUGACAAGUCUGCCGCAGGUAGAGCACUGAAUUUCCUAGGGGGCGUCAAAGCCUACCGAAGAAUAUCAAACUCCGAAUGGCGGCCAGAUGGUGUCAUGGAGUCAGACUGCACGAGAUAAGUUGGGUGGUCAAAAGGGAAAGAGCCCAGACCCACAGCUAAGGUCCCAAAGUGCGUGUUAAGUGGAAAAGGAUGUGGGAUUUCGAAGACAACUAGGAUGUUGGCUCAGAAGCAGCCACACAUUAAAAGAGUGCGUAAUAGCUCACUAGUCGAGAGGUCCUGCGCCGAAAAUGUCCGGGGCUGAAACACGACACCGAAGCUUGGGAAUCCUACGGGAUUGGUAGAGGAGCAUUGAAGACGGGACGAAGCGUAACCGUAAGGAUACGUGGACUGUCUUGAAGAGAGAAUGCCGGAAUGAGUAGCGAGAAUGAAGUGAGAAUCUUCAUGGCCGAAUAUCUAAGGUUUCCAGGGUAAAGCUGAUCUGCCCUGGGUAAGUCGGGACCUAAGGCGAGGUCGAAAGACGUAGCCGAUGGACAACAGGUUGAAAUUCCUGUACUGCAUUAAAUCAGAACUGUGGGGACACAGAAGGAAGGCAUGAGCCGGAAAAGGAAAAUCCGGUGCAAGCAUGGGAGGGGUAUGACAGGCAAAUCCGUCAUGCAACCCGAGAAUGUGACGCGGAGCGAACAAAAGUAGCGAAGCAUGCUUACCGGCUGUCGAGAAAAGCCGCUAUUGCGUUUAAUGCACCCGUACCGUAAACCGACACAGGUGGAUGAGGAGAGAAUCCUAAGGCCGGCGGGAGAAGCAUUGUUAAGGAACUCGGCAAAAUGACCCCGUAACUUCGGGAGAAGGGGUGCUCUUAGAAAUAAGAGCCGCAGAGAAUUGGCCCAAGCAACUGUUUAGCAAAAACACAGGUCUAUGCAAAACCGAAAGGUGAGGUAUAUGGGCUGACGCCUGCCCGGUGCUGGAAGGUUAAGAGGAGAGGUUAGAGCAAUCGAAGCUUUGAAUUGAAGCCCCAGUAAACGGCGGCCGUAACUAUAACGGUCCUAAGGUAGCGAAAUUCCUUGUCGGGUAAGUUCCGACCCGC
RNAcentral lists this ribosomal RNA (1159 nucleotides) under human gut metagenome. Its description in RNAcentral is "bacterial LSU rRNA". It matches the Rfam family "Bacterial large subunit ribosomal RNA", at positions 806 to 1991 of the family's 2925-position model. The record is from RNAcentral.